This 448-nucleotide ribosomal RNA is filed under the name uncultured bacterium. RNAcentral's name for it is "bacterial SSU rRNA". It matches the Rfam family "Bacterial small subunit ribosomal RNA", at positions 329 to 793 of the family's 1533-position model. The record is from RNAcentral.
UUCCAGACUCCUACGGGAGGCAGCAGUCGGGAAUAUUGCACAAUGGAGGAAACUCUGAUGCAGUGACACCGCGUAUAGGAAGAAGGUUUUCGGAUUGUAAACUCUUUUAGACAGGGAAGAAAAAAGACAGUACCUGUAGAAUAAGCUCCGGCUAACUACGUGCCAGCAGCCGCGGUAAUACGUAGGGGGCAAGCGUUAUCCGGAUUCACUGGGUGUAAAGGGAGCGUAGACGGCGACGCAAGUCUGGAGUGAAAGCCCGGGGCCCAACCCCGGGACUGCUCUUGGAACUGCGUGGCUGGAGUGCAGGAGGGGCAGGCGGAAUUCCUGGUGUAGCGGUGAAAUGCGUAGAUAUCAGGAGGAACACCGGUGGCGAAGGCGGCCUGCUGGACUGCAACUGACGUUGAGGCCCGAAAGCGUGGGGAACAAACAGGAUUAGAUACCCCGGUAC